UACGUAGGGGGCUAGCGUUGUCCGGAAUCAUUGGGCGUAAAGAGCGUGUAGGCGGUCCGGUAAGUCCGCUGUGAAAGUCGGGGGCUCAACCCUCGAAUGCCGGUGGAUACUGUCGGGCUAGAGGGCGGAAGAGGCGAGUGGAAUUCCUGGUGUAGCGGUGAAAUGCGCAGAUAUCAGGAGGAACACCUAUUGCGAAGGCAGCUCGCUGGGACGUUACUGACACUGAGGCGCGAAAGCGUGGGGAGCGAACAGG
This 253-nucleotide ribosomal RNA is filed under the name uncultured bacterium. Its description in RNAcentral is "partial 16S ribosomal RNA". It matches the Rfam family "Bacterial small subunit ribosomal RNA", at positions 524 to 776 of the family's 1533-position model. The record is from RNAcentral.